GUCCACGCCGUAAACGAUGUUCACUCGCUGUUUGCGAUACACAGCAAGCGGCCAAGCGAAAGCAUUAAGUGAACCACCUGGGGAGUACGAUCGCAAGGUUGAAACUCAAAGGAAUUGACGGGGGCCCGCACAAGCGGAGGAACAUGUGGUUUAAUUCGAUGAUACGCGAGGAACCUUACCUGGGCUUAAAUGUAGAGCGACAGAUUGUGAAAGCAGUCCUUCUUCGGACGAUCUACAAGGUGCUGCAUGGUUGUCGU
This 257-nucleotide ribosomal RNA is filed under the name uncultured bacterium. RNAcentral describes it as "partial 16S ribosomal RNA". It matches the Rfam family "Bacterial small subunit ribosomal RNA", at positions 793 to 1055 of the family's 1533-position model. The record is from RNAcentral.